RNAcentral lists this long non-coding RNA (10213 nucleotides) under Citrus maxima (pomelo). Its description in RNAcentral is "long non-coding RNA (CMAX_LNC002819)". The record is from RNAcentral. Lineage: Eukaryota; Viridiplantae; Streptophyta; Magnoliopsida; Sapindales; Rutaceae.
GUAAAUAAGAUUAAAGUACUUGCUAUAGCUAUCUUAAUUUGGCUUUCAAGUCAUUAUUGGAGAUCAAUAUUCAUUCAAGAUUUAACGGCACAAGGCAACCAUGUCCAAAAUUUAUCCCAGUGAGAACAAACGCAAUGAAUUGAAACCGAAAGGAGAUGAUGAUUGCCGUUUACGCCGAGCAUGCUCACUGUGUGGAAGAGAUCAAGCAUGAGCUUCCAAGGCACUGAUGGGUUCACAGUGUUUGAUCAGCAAGGGAGAUUAGUUUUCCGUGUUGAUAAUACUCGCGGAAUCAUCCUUGUGCUGCUUCCGGUCUAGUGCUCAUGGACGGAGCUGGCAAUGCUCUGCUUUCUUUAAAACCCCAGGUAUAUAUACGUGUGUGUGUGUGUGUGUGUGUGUGUGUGUGUGUUGUGCAAAGGCUUUACAACACCGCACUUUAUGAAUCUCUGAUGAAACUUUUGUGCAUGGCUAUGGACAGAUACUGAGCAUGCAAAACCAGUGGAACGCGUACAGGGAAGAGGAUGGAUGUGGAAAGAGCAGUCCGAGGUGUAAAAUUUUCGAUGAGGAGCUCAUCGAUGGCGUUCUUCGGUGGCGGCAAGGAUAAGGCGGAGGUGUUCAUGGGGUCAGCAUCAGGACGAGGUAGACAACAAAGGGGGACGACGCCGGAUUUCAGGAUUGAGGGUUCUUUCAGGAAUCGAAACUGCAAGAUAAGUAAUGCGGAAGGACAAGUCGUGGCCAAGAUUGCGAGGAAGAGAGUCAUGAACUCUACCGUAAUGCUAAGCGACGACGUUUUUAGCUUAGUUAUACAACCUGGUUAUAGCAGUGAGCUUAUUAUGGCUUUUGUAAUUGUACUGGAUCGCAUCUCCACCAAGCCGUAUACUCCUGCUUUGUGUUCUUGAUGACUUUGUACUUUUUUCUUCUUUUUGUGUACAAAAAGCCCACGUAAAUAAUUCAUACAAGUUUUGGAUUUUGCUUCCUUGGCCGUGGCCAAUGGGAAGAAGAGAUAGCUGGACAGGAGUCAUCAAAAGAUUUUGUUCACAAGCAUGCAAUAUUGCGCUUGAAUUGAUGACACGAAUUGUUCAUCUUGUAAAAUAAAUAAGAAAUCAUAUAUUUAAAUUCGAUCAGUAGUCCGGAAUCAAGGAAGAAAUCAUCUGAAUUAAAAAAUGACAGAUUUUCCGUUAUUUUUUUAAAUUUUUGCAUUGCAAUAAUUUUCCUAAUUUCCAAGCUAAUUAAGGGAGUCAAAAUUCGAUUGGCUGAAUAUAGGUGGAGGAAAGAUUAGUUUUGUUCAUAUAUAUGUAAUCCAGGAAUAAUAAUAUCAGAAUUUUUAAAAUAUUUGCCUUUCCAUUGCUUGUGCUCUAUUCAUUAGUGUUAAAUUGUGGAAUUGACAAAAGACAUCUACGCAUUAAGAAUGUGGUCUAGCUACUAAUAUUUCUUUAGCGGCUGGUUAGAAGAUGAAGUGUUAAGAUAGUCGUAUACAAGUCUAUCGCACAGUCAAUGUCCUUCGUCACAGAGGAUGAACAGUAGGUUGGCGAAUCAGAUGGAAAAGCCCAUGUGUUUUUUUUUUUAGAUAAUUCCUUUAUCUGAAUCCUAAACAAAAGUGCUCUUCUCAAUCUCAGCUGAAGAGGAAAUGAGAUCAAAUUGCCAGAUAAAUGCUAAAUCUGUCGUGUUGAAAACGUUAUGUGUCAUUACAUGAAUGCUUGCCAACAAGCAUAUAAACCGGCUCAACUCAACUCUAUCCUAAACUUUUAAUUAUCACCUUGGAACAAAAUUCCAAGAAUCCGGCUCUACAAAAUACAAGUACAGAAUCGCAUUGUAAGACUAACUCAGCAAUUGUAUGAUCUUGAGACUGUUCGUUGCACAAACGCCAACCCUAUUCAGUUAUCCAUAUUGCCAAUACAACAAAAAUCCGUUCUACUUGCAAGUGAUAACUACAGAAAGAAUGAGUAUGCACCCAAUGACCGGCCACGUAUGUGCACCAGAUGAUAUAUCAUCAGUCAAUCACCAGACACAAAAGUCUUGCCCUCAUAGUACCUUUUCUCGCUUGCAUUCUUUUUCUCAUUUCGUUUCUGCAGAAGAAAGAAACACAUUUUCAUUUCUCCGUGGAUUAAACAGAAAAAAACACCAACACAGCAAACAAACAAACAUUAAGCAUUUAAUGGUCAUAGCACCAAACUGCUCAAUGGACGCGUUAGAACAAGCCCAUAACUCCCAUACUAUAAUUUCGAGAAGACAAACCUAUUACGCAUACAACAGCUUUAAACAGGUUGAUUCUCCCAUCUUCAUACAUAUGUUACACUGACUUGCCAACUACUAGAACAACCAUCACAUGCUCCCAAGGUCGGAAGAGCAGUGAAUAGGUCUUUUUUCAGGCACAUAUUAAAAGGCAAGUUUUGCAGAGGGAACUCUUUUCUUUCAGCCAAUAGUCAAGUGGCUCUUUCUUAAAACAUGUGGUAAAAACAUGCUAAGUUGAUCAAGAGCAUCAAAUAACAAGGUUUUGAAGGUAGGUGAACCUGAUAUGCCUCAUGAUUUGAUACAAUCCUCCUAAUUAUCGUGGCAGUAGUAAUAUCGAGUGGACUUUCCAGAACUUUGAAGAUACCCACGCUAAUUGGAAUAGCGUAUGGAUUGCCAUCAUCCUAUAUAACAAAAUAAUCUGUCAGCGAAAAGGUGUAUCUUGGCACCACAAUAAUCAGUGGUCAACUCUUUGUAACCACAUGCAACUAGAAACUUCUACAAAAUUUACCUUCUGAAAAUCAUCGUUCUCAGCUACAGUUCCGUGGACAACUAAUGAUUAAUAAGACCCAUGUCAUGACUUUGACCAGGCAUACUUGAACCAAAGAAGAAGGAAAAUUCUAAGACAUAAUCUAAUUCGAAAAAUGAGCUAGGAAAGUCCACAAGAGUCAAGAUCCUAGAAUUCAACUGAAUAGUCAAUUCUUUGCUUCUUUCCUUCAAGAUAUCUAAUAUUCUUCUCUCCGAGCCUACAGCGAAAAACAUGUUGUUGGAAAAUUUGUUCUUUAAAAGUAUACGUGUUUAUUUAAUUGUAAUAAAUAAUUUUUUUGAUUAAUAAAAUAAAUAAGAAUUUUUCUUUAAAUAUCUUAAUUGCAUUAAUAUUUUGAGUAAAAUCAAUUUAAUCAUAUUAUAUGUAUUUAUGUGAUCAAUAUGUGGAUUCACAAAAGACAUAAAUACAAGUUAUAUUAUGAUUAAAUAAAUUAAGUUUUGCAGUUGAUAAAUAAAGUACUCAAGUUUUGCAGUUGAUAAAUAAAGUUGAGUACUUUAUAUAGGUAUAGACUGUAAUAAAUUCAUUGAAUGAUUUGUCUUAAUCAUGUAUGAAUUUAUUGAUGUAGUCGUUGAGCACUUUAUUUAGGUAUAGUCUGUAAUAAAUUCAUUAAAUGAUUUGUCUUAAUCAUGUAUGAAUUUAUUGAUGUAGUACAACUAUAUUGAACAGGAUCACAAAUGAGAUUUAAUUAACUUUGUAAUAACUGUCAGACUUAUUAAAUCUCAUAGGCAUUGAUUUUACUAUACUCUUAAUCUUGAGUUAGAUAUAAUUUCAUGAUUGUAAUUGUUAUUCCAUUUGAGUUACCAAUGGGCACGACACACACUUGUAGUCAAGAUUACUCGGUAUCUUGGUGGGAGCAAUUAUGAAUAUUGGAAUUAUAGAUUAGCAAUAUAGAAUUUGUACAACACAUCUCUUGAUGAGUUUUCGGCACUUGAUCAUAAAAUUCUUUGGCCAGAGUUUGUCAACAUAUUUAAUAUGUUGAAAAUGAUAAUUAGAGAAAACCAAUAAGUAUUAAGGAACAAGAUGUAAUUAAAUUAAUUGAACAAUUAAGAUAUCAAUUUAAUUAACGAUGUGGUACAAAUGAUUGUACAGUAAAGAAAUCAAUGUGGCAUGGGUCAAAUUAUUAUUCGAGAACACUAUCCUGAAUAACAUACAAUUAUGAAGGUCAAUUCAAAUCUUUUAGAGGAGUAGAUUUUGAAUUAAAUAAUUGGGUUAGUUUAAUUAUCGGCAUAAUUAUUGUACCCACUAUUGUAUGUACUCAAAUGAUCUCCGGGUUAACUCAUUUAAUUGACUGCGUCGCUACUGGAUUAAUAAGUAAGAUAACUAGUUGUUUGGGUUAAAGCCUAAAUAUAUUAUUUAGUGGGAGACUCCAUAAAAUAUGCUUGUGUGUAAGGGUCUUAUGUUAUUUUACAAGGUGGACCCUUAUAACAAGAAGAAGUAACGUUAUUUAUGGUUUUAUUAUUUUUUAAUUUAAAUCAAAUAUGAUUUAAUAGAAUUAAUAAAUUAAUAAAUAUGAAGCCUAGGGUUUCCAUCAAAUAGAGAUAUAAAAAGGAUAUUUUCUCAACAAGAAAAGGUGAAGCCACAUUAUACAGAUUAGAAAAAAAAAAGAUUUUUCUCUAAUUUUGAGAGAAAUAUUUUCUCCUACUAGUUACUUUUUAGUGGUGAUAAAGGCGCCUACACGUCAAGUGCAGAUCAAACGUGAGUCAUAACUUGGAAGAUCAUUGGUGACAGAUCGUGAUCUAACCGGAGUAGUGGUGACAGAUCGUGAUCUAACAGUCUAGAUUACUUUAGCGAAAAAAGUAAAGUCGAAUUGUCAAUGUAUGAUUUUUUAGAUUUUGAAUUCUUAUGUAUUGUAUGAGAUCGAUCUAAAAGUUUUUAUAAAAAUUAAAAAACUGAUUUUUCUCCCACACGUGCAAUGUGUAUAUACAAACUCUCUUGACCAUUUGAAGCUAAGGGGAAAAAAAAAGAGAGAUCAAGUAAUUUUAAUUUUUAGAAAAAAAGAGUUCCCACAAGAUGGAUGUGGGAAUAACCGUCCCACACAAAGAAAAAGACCCCGGUGGGGAUGCCAUCUAGCACAACCACAUCACUGACAGCUAGCUAGUGCUUCCUAAAAAUUAUUAGUAGCAUCCACCAUUUCUAACUUCCAAACAUGCAUCACUCAGAGAAACUCAGACUCCAGCACCGAUUCCUUCAUGGCCAAUGCAUCUUGCACUCUUAUGCAAAGCUAACACAAGUAUUUUAGAUAACCCAGAAAUGAGUAAACUAGAUAUCACCAGAUGUAUAUAUAUUAACUAAUAAUUUCAGGCGUAACUACACUAGUACUAUUAAUAAUAUCUUUCUGAUUUUUGAUUUCUCUGAAUCAAUCAUCCAAUUUUAAUCAAUAGUCAAGAGCUAUGAAUCAACGUUUGAGAAAACAUCUUUACUGAUGAUUUAAAUCAACAUAUAGCCUGACAAUUUAAAUAUCAACAUAAAGCUAAUAACUAGCUUACAACGAGUAACACAAAAUGAAAGAUACUUGGAAGACACAAGGAAAAUAACAAGAGUUAACAGAGAAACUAACCAUGUUUUUAGAAACUUCCCAGGGAGCACCAAUUAUAACCUCAUCAACGUAGCGACAAGCUAAAACACUUAAACUUCUUUCGUGAAGAUUCAUGAUAGGGCGAUGAGCUCCUCUUUUAGCACUGCAGAGCCAUGUGAUUAAGUUUCCAUAACACAUGAUAAAGGUCAGAAACUUCGCUCAAUUUUCUUAGUAUAAAACGACUAUAGAAUCAGGGCAAAGUCUAACAAAAUGAAGGAUAUAGAAGGAUUUUUAAACCUGACUGUUUGAUCAUUGUGUAUCCCAACAAGAAGAAAAUCUCCAAGCCCCCGAGCAAUCCUCAAAAUAUACAACACAAGAUAAUUGGCAAGAAAUACAAAAAUAAGUGUAAAAUAACAGAGAUAAAGAUAAAUUUAAAAAGAAAAAGACAUGAUACAACUUAACCCAUAAUAAAAUAUGCAGUUAUGACACCAUCAAUUCUGAUAAGGAACGUUUGGAUUAAUUAAUUCCGCAUAUGCAUACACACUGGUCAAUAUUUUCUAACCAUCUACCCCACAUGUUUUUAGUUGAUUAAACUAGGAAUUUUUCACAUUCCUUUUUACGAUAUGCAGUUCGUUUUGACUAUAUAAAUUAAUAUAUUUAUGACAUUAAUUAUUAUUUGAUUUUUAUUACCGUUUAUUUAAUCAAUAGAUUAUUUAGAAUACAACGAUCGAUCGACCUAAUGAUGAUGACGCUAGGGCCACUUACCUCCAUAAACUUUCCCCUUCUAAAUAAAAUUAAUUAACACACACACACACACACACAAAAUCCCAUAUGGACUACAAAGUAAUCGAAUUUUCUAUUCCCAAACAUAUUCUAGUGACCCUCUAAUCCUAAUCCUAAUCCUAAUCCUAAUCCAGGUUAAAUUUUGUUUUUAUUCAUGGUGGAUGGUUACCAAAACCACUGCAAUUAAAAUGCACGCGUCUUAUACUGGAUGUGAGUUUCCUUUUAAAGUGACAUUUUAUAACUUUUUUUUCUUAUUUUAUAUGAAGAUUUUUCUAUGAUUUUGUAUGAAAUUUUACCCAAAUAAUAAUCUUGUGAACCCUUGGAUUUAAGUCACCAUUGGUUUAAUUUAGUAUUAUAUAUAACUAACUACUUAAUAAUAAUUACUAUGUAAUAUUGAAGUUGCUGAGUUAUUUGCAGGUUCAUAGAUAUAAUUUUAUUUUUAAGUAAUUAAAAAAUGUUUUCUAAUCACUAAAAAAACAUUAACCAUAAGUGUACAUGAUAAAUAUGAAUUAGAAAAUCUUCAACAACACAUGCAUGUUGAUAGAAUAGUGAUCCCUUUUAUCAUGUAUAAUUGUAACAGUAUAAUUUUAAAUACUUGAUUUUACUCAUUGGCAUUACCCCAAUCUUUACUAAUCUAGCAAGUCUUUGUGAAGAAGCGAGACAAGAUGAAAAAUAUAGAAGUUUAGAUAAACUAUAUUUGUUCGUUGUUAUUAUUUAACCUUAAAUAAAAACUUUUUUGGAUAUCAUUUUGAUUAAAUUUUUAAUUAUUAAAAUUAAAAUAUCAUCCUAACUAAAUUCCAAUUUUAUCAAUCAUUGAUCAAAUCUAAUUGUAUAUAUUUAUAUCGCAAGUGAUACAGUAAUUUUAUAACUGCUAUACAGGGAUGACAUCAGCAUCGUCCGCAACGAGUUUACUGUUACCACCCACACCCGCACCCGUUGUGGGUUUUAAUUUUUUAGAAAAAUCAACUUGCUACGGGUUUUGAUAAUUACCAAACCUGCAAUGGUACCCAGAGGAUUCUCACAUUUAAAAUCACAAAUGUACAAUAUGUAAAUUUUAUAUUAAUAACCUGAAAUUCCACAAUUCUAAAUUUAUCAAUGUAAAUAGAAAAUUAAAAUUUCAACAUUAAUUCAACAUAAACUCUCAAAUUUAAGUAUGAAAUAUAUAAAUCCAUUAAAAAAAAACCACAAAUGUAAUGAAAAAUUCAUGGGUUUGCGGCUGCGGAUCACGGGUGAAAGGGAAAUGGGUGUGCGGCUGUUGCUCACAGGUGAAAGGGAAAUAGUUUGGAAGGCUAGGCUUUGCGGCUGCCGCUUAUAAGUGAAAAUGAAAUAGUUUGGGUUUCCUUUAGGUUGGGUUAUGAGUUACAACUUACACACACCACACAUGACAUGUUUACACUUUACAUUUAUUUAAUUUAUAUAUUUUUAGAUUUAAUUAUUUUUUUAUUUAAAAUUACAUUGAAAAUAUUUGAGAAAAAAAAACUGCGGGUUUGGCGGAUAUCCCUGCGGCUAUCCAUCGGAUAUUUAGCUAAUACCAAACUCAGCCGCAACGUAAUGUGGGGUUCAAUUUUUAAUACUAAACUCGCCCACAACCUAUAAAAUUACCCACAACGGGCGAAUUUUGACAGGUGAAUUUAGACAAAUUUACGGGUGCCAUUGCCAUCCCUACUGUAGUAUUAAAAAAUGACCCCUUAUAUAUAGAAAUAUAUCCUAGUACGGGCUACAGACAGUGACCUAAUUAGAGGAGUGCUUAUAUUUUAAUUUCAUGGAGAAAAUGAUACCACGUAGAUUAACCAAAUCAAAUAAAUUCAACUCGGUGGUUAGACGAGUUAGUGCUUUGAUGACUCAAAACCGAGGGCACUAAGCCAAGUUGGACGAUUAAUUAACAAUUAAAUCAAUAUUUUAGAGGCACUAAUACUCGUUUCCACAUGGUUAAUGUUGGAAAAAAAGACCUUGGGUGUGAUUGACCAUCUGUCAUUCAAACCCUUAUCUCGCUUGUUUUCAUUCAUAAGAUUUCACGUAGAGGAAUCAAACAUGACUACAACUGUUAUCGCUUCAUGCUUAUGGAGGGUAUCAUUGAAUUCUUCGAGUAGCGACAAGCAGCUAAAAAACAACCGAUUAAUAAGCUUUUACGCAUUCAACUAAAAAGCCCACAUGAAAUAUUAGGCACAUAGUGGGUACUAGGUCUCCCGCCGCUAGCUUUGAAUUAAAUUCCCCUUUUGCGAGCAAGUUGAGAGCUAAAUUUUCAUCGUCACGACAAAUUAUUGGUCACAUGAAUGCAAGGUCUAAGAAGCUUCUAUUGACCAUAAAAUCUUCUCACAAUUUAUUAAUUAAGAAAAUAACUGCAGUACUAUAUUGUUUGGUACAACAUUUUUAUUCUCUCUCUUCUACUUCUCUUGAAGAAAUUAAAAUUUUAAAUUUUAAAAGAAUCCCCAAACUUAAAAUAUAUUAUGUAUAAUAUCAAUGGGGGUUUCAAAAAUGUGUAUAAUUGGAUUGUAUAAAAAAAAAUAGAGAUUUUAGUGCGGUAUAGAAUUUUAAAAACUGGAUAUAAGAAUUUACUCCUAAAAUAAUUUUUAUGAAUAGAAUUCACAUAAGUAAUUUUGAGUUUAAUAGAUAUAAGACUGAUUAAAUCUCAACCAUUCAAUAUUAGUAUUAAUAGCACUUAAUCAUAAGAAGAUACUAAUUCUUUGAAUUCAUCUAUCUAUUUAUUAGAGGAUUACACAUUACUCGCAAGAGUACUAAGCAAGAUUCGGUGGGUAAAGAAAAAUAAAAACCAUUUGGCAAUUUGAAAUAUAUAUAUAGCAUAUAUAAGACAUAAAGGUCCUGGCCUACUGCCUAUGCAUGUAGGUCGUGAAUCUUGUGACUUUAGAAGUCUACUUAUGAUGUUUGGUAGUGGCUACACACGGGGGAAUAAACGAAAAUGAUGAUUUUCCUUUUCCUUAAUUCCUAGACCGCCAACUUUUUUGCGUGCCCCCAACACAACUUAUAUAAACUAAAAUCAUGUGUACGCAUAACAAGCAAAAGCAGGAGCAGCAUAAAAACUAGAUAACAACCCACUUCGCAAAAAGGAGGCGCGUCCCAUUAAUAAUCAAAUUAAUUGUACAUAUAUUAAGAUAAUUAUAACUCAUUUAUGUCGGUAUCUUAAAUACCAAUUCAUGGAUUGGUGGUGAUGAAUAAUUUAAAGAAAAAAUUAAACCAGGUCACUGAUAGCUGCAUAAAGCUGGGGGCCUGGGGAAUUAAUUGUGUAAGCCACCAACGGAGACAUAACAUCCGAGACAAAGGAACUCUCGUUCCACGCACGUCUCUCUCUUUCUCUAUAUAUAUAUACAUGUAAAUAAGAUUAAAGUACUUGCUAUAGCUAUCUUAAUUUGGCUUUCAAGUCAUUAUUGGAGAUCAAUAUUCAUUCAGAUUUAACGGCACAAGGCAACCAUGUCCAAAAUUUUAUCCCAGUGAGAACAAACGCAAUGAAUUGAAACCGAAAGGAGAUGAUGAUUGCCGUUUACGCCCGAGCAUGCUCACUGUGUGGAAGAGAUCAAGCAUGAGCUUCCAAGGCACUGAUGGGUUCACAGUGUUUGAUCAGCAAGGGAGAUUAGUUUUCCGUGUUGAUAAUUACUCGCGGAAUCAUCCUUGUGUUGCUGCUUCCGGUCUAGUGCUCAUGGACGGAGCUGGCAAUGCUCUGCUUUCUUUAAAACCCCAGGUAUAUAUACGUGUGUGUGUGUGUGUGUGUGUGUGUGUGUGUGUGUUGUGCAAAGGCUUUACAACACCGCACUUUAUGAAUCUCUGAUGAAACUUUUGUGCAUGGCUAUGGACAGAUACUGAGCAUGCAAAACCAGUGGAACGCGUACAGGGAAGAGGAUGGAUGUGGAAAGAGCAGUCCGAGGUGUAAAGUAUUUUCGAUGAGGAGCUCAUCGAUGGCGUUCUUCGGUGGCGGCAAGGAUAAGGCGGAGGUGUUCAUGGGGUCAGCAUCAGGACGAGGUAGACAACAAAGGGGGACGACGCCGGAUUUCAGGAUUGAGGUUCUUUCAGGAAUCGAAACUGCAAGAUAAGUAAUGCGGAAGGACAAGUCGUGGCCAAGAUUGCGAGGAAGAGAGUCAUGAACUCUACCGUAAUGCUAAGCGACGACGUUUUUAGCUUAGUUAUACAAC